Molecule: microRNA precursor, 94 nt
Filed under: Pongo abelii (Sumatran orangutan)
Lineage: Eukaryota; Metazoa; Chordata; Mammalia; Primates; Hominidae
Description: miRNA
Source: RNAcentral
CAGCAGGUCAGCAGAAGGUGAGGGAAGAGGAUCCACCUGUCCUGUCCUGUCCUGUCCUGUCCUCUCCUGCCCUGUCCUGGCUCCAGCCCCUCCC